GAUGAACGCUAGCGACAGGCUUAACACAUGCAAGUCGAGGGGCAUCACGGGAGUAGCAAUACAACUGGUGGCGACCGGCGCACGGGUGAGUAACGCGUAUGCAACCUACCUAUCAGAGGGGAAUAACCCGGCGAAAGUCGGACUAAUACCGCAUAAAACAGGGGCACCGCAUGGUGAUAUUUGUUAAAGAAAUUCGCUGAUAGAUGGGCAUGCGUUCCAUUAGGUAGUUGGUGAGGUAACGGCUCACCAAGCCGACGAUGGAUAGGGGAACUGAGAGGUUGGUCCCCCACACUGGUACUGAGACACGGACCAGACUCCUACGGGAGGCAGCAGUGAGGAAUAUUGGUCAAUGGGCGGGAGCCUGAACCAGCCAAGUCGCGUGAAGGAAGAAGGAUCUAUGGUUCGUAAACUUCUUUUGCAGGGGAAUAAAGUGCAGGACGUGUCCUGUUUUGUAUGUACCCUGAGAAUAAGGAUCGGCUAACUCCGUGCCAGCCGCCGCCGUAA
Molecule: ribosomal RNA, 504 nt
Filed under: uncultured bacterium
Lineage: Bacteria
Description: partial 16S ribosomal RNA
Rfam family: Bacterial small subunit ribosomal RNA
Source: RNAcentral